AUGUGAUCGUCUCUCGCAUAUCAAUAAGCGGAGGAAAAGAAACUAACAAGGAUUCCCCUAGUGAACGGCGAGUGAAGCGGGAAGAGCUCAAAUUUGAAAUCUUAAAGGGUUUCCCUUUACGAAUUGUAGUUUAAAGAAGUGUUUUCUGUUGAGGUUUUGGUAAAAGUUCUUUGGAAUAGGACAUCAUAGAGGGUGAGAAUCCCGUAUUUGACCUUUACUUUCAACUUUGUGAUACACUUUCAAAGAGUCGGAUUGUUUGGGAAUGCAGUCCAAAAUGGGUGGUAAAUUUCAUCUAAAGCUAAAUAUUGGCGAGAGACCGAUAGCGAACAAGUACCGUGAGGGAAAGAUGAAAAGAACUUUGAAAAGAGAGUUAAACAGUACGUGAAAUUGUCAAAAGGGAAGCGUUUGACACCAGUGUUGUUUUUCUGAAAAUCAAUUAAAGAACUGUUUAUGCUAAGCUGUUUAGACUUUAUCAGCUAUCUGUUUAGUUUUGAGCUUUUCUUUAAUGCACUUUUCAGUUAACAAGUCAACAUCAAUUUCUUUUGCUGUAAAAAAGCUUGAGGAAGGUGGCUUGAGAUUCGUCUUAAGUGUUUAUAGCCUCUUGCCUAUGCAGUCGGAGAGAUUGAGGUCUGCAGCGUAGAUCCUUCGGGGCUAAAUGCAUUUGUGCUAAGUUAUAGCAUUUUAUAGACAACUUGUUGACUAUGAUUUGUCUUGUAGCUUACUCGCUUAUGUUAUUUUACCUACGCUUAGGAUGUUGAGCGCAUGUCUCUCUCU
This 774-nucleotide ribosomal RNA is filed under the name uncultured Neocallimastigales. RNAcentral describes it as "partial large subunit ribosomal RNA". It matches the Rfam family "Eukaryotic large subunit ribosomal RNA", at positions 24 to 616 of the family's 3401-position model. Lineage: Eukaryota; Fungi; Neocallimastigomycota; Neocallimastigomycetes; Neocallimastigales. The record is from RNAcentral.